UAUACCUGAGUAUGAGUGUACGAAAGUUUUUGAUACUUUAAGAGGUAAUUUGGUUUACUAGGUAUAU
Molecule: transfer RNA, 67 nt
Filed under: Trigonopterus sp. 8 AH-2016
Lineage: Eukaryota; Metazoa; Arthropoda; Insecta; Coleoptera; Curculionidae
Description: tRNA-Gln
Source: RNAcentral